GACGAACGCUGGCGGCGUGCUUAACACAUGCAAGUCGAACGGAAAGGCCCUGCUUGCAGGGUACUCGAGUGGCGAACGGGUGAGUAACACGUGGGUGAUCUGCCCUGCACUUCGGGAUAAGCCUGGGAAACUGGGUCUAAUACCGGAUAGGAGCCAUUUUUAGUGUGAUGGUUGGAAAGUUUUUUCGGUGUAGGAUGAGCUCGCGGCCUAUCAGCUUGUUGGUGGGGUAAUGGCCUACCAAGGCGGCGACGGGUAGCCGGCCUGAGAGGGUGGACGGCCACAUUGGGACUGAGAUACGGCCCAGACUCCUACGGGAGGCAGCAGUGGGGAAUAUUGCACAAUGGGCGCAAGCCUGAUGCAGCGACGCCGCGUGGGGGAUGACGGCCUUCGGGUUGUAAACUCCUUUCGCUAGGGACGAAGCUUUUUGUGACGGUACCUAGAUAAGAAGCACCGACUAACUACGUG
RNAcentral lists this ribosomal RNA (465 nucleotides) under uncultured bacterium. RNAcentral's name for it is "partial 16S ribosomal RNA". It matches the Rfam family "Bacterial small subunit ribosomal RNA", at positions 28 to 507 of the family's 1533-position model. The record is from RNAcentral.